CCUUUUAAUAUGUUCCCUAUAUAUUCAAUGCAUUAGUAACUCCCCAUUCUACUCAAUUACCAUUUUCUCCUCAUUCUCUUAAUUUCUCUCCAUUUAGAAUCUUAAUAUUUAACCGGAUAUUACUAUUUUGUAUAGUUCGAAUUGAUUGGAGAAGAAAUUAUAAAAUAUGAUAUAAUGUUGCUCACCUCAUCCCUUAAUUAUAA
Molecule: long non-coding RNA, 203 nt
Filed under: Gossypium barbadense (sea-island cotton)
Lineage: Eukaryota; Viridiplantae; Streptophyta; Magnoliopsida; Malvales; Malvaceae
Description: long non-coding RNA (GBAR_LNC010011)
Source: RNAcentral